Molecule: ribosomal RNA, 657 nt
Filed under: Triticum aestivum (bread wheat)
Lineage: Eukaryota; Viridiplantae; Streptophyta; Magnoliopsida; Poales; Poaceae
Description: partial small subunit ribosomal RNA
Source: RNAcentral
AUGCCGCCGGAUCCGGGAACAGGGCAUCACACCCUGCAGCUGCCGUUCGGGUCGAGCGCGGCGGCGGCGAACGCCGGUGCUCCUCUGCUUCCUCGACCUCCAAGGACGCAGGCCCCGGAUUCGUGCUCGCCUUCUUCCUCCACCAACCUUGGUGCCCAACUCCCUACAGCCGCCGUCGCCGUCGCCGUCGUGGACUCCCAGGCAAGGAGCAUGAGGACCGAGCUCGAGCGCGACCACGACGCAGCGCACAAGGUCCCUGUUUCCUGCACAAGUAUACACAUCACCUUGCUUGGUUGGGGAGCAGCAACAUCAAGGCUGUUGUACAAACAGCAAUAUCAAGACGUUGAACAAAUAGCAACAUCAGUUGCUGAUAGCGUACUGAGGUGUUUCAGCACCAACGCUUGGAUGACCAACGAGGAACAAGCUAUGGCGGUGGCUGCCGAUUUGCCGCCUCAACAAGGUCUCGUUCCUCCCUGGUUUGCACAAGCUUCGUCAGGCAACUGCAGAUCCCGUACGACCAUGGCCCACACCCCUGAAGCUUCCCCUGUCCGCAACAACUUCUGGAUCAAAGGAUUGUUGCUUAAUCCCGGGCUGCUCUACCUUCAAGGAAAAGGGGUCCUCCUUGAGAUCAUACAGAUGGUGCAAGGACAAUGUUAA